Molecule: small nuclear RNA, 162 nt
Filed under: Moschus moschiferus (Siberian musk deer)
Lineage: Eukaryota; Metazoa; Chordata; Mammalia; Artiodactyla; Moschidae
Description: U1 spliceosomal RNA (ENSMMSG00000012796.1)
Rfam family: U1 spliceosomal RNA
About the family: U1 is a small nuclear RNA (snRNA) component of the spliceosome (involved in pre-mRNA splicing). Its 5' end forms complementary base pairs with the 5' splice junction, thus defining the 5' donor site of an intron. There are significant differences in sequence and secondary structure between metazoan and yeast U1 snRNAs, the latter being much longer (568 nucleotides as compared to 164 nucleotides in human).
Source: RNAcentral
GUACUUACCCAGCAGGGGAGAUACCAUGAUCACGAAGGUGGUUUUCCCAGGGCAAGGCUCAUCCAUUGCACUCCAGGUGUACUGACCCCUGCAAUUUCCCCAAACAUGGGGAACUCGGCUGCAUAAUUUGUCAUAGGGAGGAGCUGCAUUCAUGCUUCCUCC